GAUGAACGCUGGCGGCGUGCCUAAUACAUGCAAGUCGAGCGAACAGAUGAGAAGCUUGCUUCUCUGUUGUUAGCGGCGGACGGGUGAGUAACACGUGGGUAACCUACCUAUAAGACUGGGAUAACUCCGGGAAACCGGGGCUAAUACCGGAUAAUAUUCUGAACCGCAUGGUUCAAUAGUGAAAGACGGUUUCGGCUGUCUCUUAUAGAUGGACACGGGCCGUAUUAGCUAGUUGGUAAGGUAACGGCUUACCAAGGCGACGAUACGUAGCCGACCUGAGAGGAUGAUCGGCCACACUGGAACUGAGACACGGUCCAGACUCCUACGGGAGGCAGCAGUAGGGAAUCUUCCGCAAUGGGCGAAAGCCUGACGGAGCAACGCCGCGUGAGUGAUGAAGGUCUUCGGAUCGUAAAACUCUGUUGUUAGGGAAGAACAAAUUUGUUAGUAACUGAACAAGUCUUGACGGUACCUAACCAGAAAGCCACGGCUAACUACGUGCCAGCAGCCGCGGUAA
Molecule: ribosomal RNA, 514 nt
Filed under: uncultured bacterium
Lineage: Bacteria
Description: partial 16S ribosomal RNA
Rfam family: Bacterial small subunit ribosomal RNA
Source: RNAcentral